CCCUUAGAUGUUCUGGGCUGCACGCGCGCUACACUGAUGCGUUCAACGAGUUUAUGACCUUGCCCGAUAGGGUUGGGUAAUCUUUUUAAAUCGCAUCGUGAUGGGGAUAGAUUAUUGCAAUUAUUAAUCUUCAACGAGGAAUUCCUAGUAAGCGCGAGUCAUCAGCUUGCGUUGAUUACGUCCCUGCCCUUUGUACACACCGCCCGUCGCUCCUACCGAUUGAAUGGUCCGGUGAAGCGUUCGGACCGUGGCCUUUGGACGGUUCGCCGUCUGUUGGCUGCGGGAAGUUCGUUAAACCUUAUCAUUUAGAGGAAGGAGAAGUCGUAACA
RNAcentral lists this ribosomal RNA (329 nucleotides) under uncultured eukaryote. Its description in RNAcentral is "partial 18S ribosomal RNA". It matches the Rfam family "Eukaryotic small subunit ribosomal RNA", at positions 1470 to 1796 of the family's 1831-position model. The record is from RNAcentral.